RNAcentral lists this ribosomal RNA (327 nucleotides) under uncultured bacterium. Its description in RNAcentral is "bacterial SSU rRNA". It matches the Rfam family "Bacterial small subunit ribosomal RNA", at positions 1 to 334 of the family's 1533-position model. The record is from RNAcentral.
CUCUAUGCGUCAGAGUUUGAUCCUGGCUCAGGAUGAACGCUGACAGAAUGCUUAACACAUGCAAGUCGACUCGAGUCUUCGGACUUGGGUGGCGCACGGGUGAGUAACGCGUGGGCAACCUGCCUUUCACAGAGGGAUAGCCAAAGGAAACUUUGAUUAAAACCUCAUAAUGCUAAUUUACUGCAUAAUAGAUUAGCCAAAGAUUUAUCGGUGAAAGAUGGGCCCGCGUCUGAUUAGCUAGUUGGUGAGGUAACGGCUCACCAAGGCAACGAUCAGUAGCCGACCUGAGAGGGUGAUCGGCCACAUUGGAACCGAGACACGGUCCAA